Molecule: ribosomal RNA, 496 nt
Filed under: uncultured bacterium
Lineage: Bacteria
Description: partial 16S ribosomal RNA
Rfam family: Bacterial small subunit ribosomal RNA
Source: RNAcentral
AUUGAACGCUGGCGGAAUGCUUUACACAUGCAAGUCGAACGGUAGAGGGGGCAACCCCUCGAGAGUGGCGAACGGGUGAGUAAUAUAUCGGAACGUGCCCAGUCGUGGGGGAUAACGUAGCGAAAGUUACGCUAAUACCGCAUACGAUCUAAGGAUGAAAGCGGGGGAUCACAAGACCUCGCGUGAUUGGCGCGGCCGAUACCAGAUGAGGUAGUUGGUGGGGUAAAGGCUCACCAAGCAAACGAUCUGUAGCUGGUCUGAGAGGACGACCAGCCACACUGGAACUGAGACACGGUCCAGACUCCUACGGGAGGCAGCAGUGGGGAAUUUUGGACAAUGGACGCAAGUCUGAUCCAGCCAUUCCGCGUGCAGGAUGAAGGCCCUCGGGUUGUAAACUGCUUUUGUACGGAACGAAAAGGUCUCUCUUAAUACGGGGGACUCAUGACGGUACCGUAAGAAUAAGCACCGGCUAACUACGUGCCAGCAGCCGCGGUAA